CACACUCUCUUCCGUCGUACCGAAACGACAAAACACCACAGCGCGCCCUCUCCAUCGCAGCCUCCUCCUCCUCCGCCGCCGCCGCCGCCGCCGAUGGACCCUCUCUCCGCCCUCCGCGACUUCACCAUGCGCGGCGACCUCGAGAAGAUCGUCCGCGCCGGCGAGGAGUUCCGGUUCGGCGCCGACUACGCCUUCCCCUGCGCCGCCGAGACGGCCUACCGGUCCAAGCAGGGCAGCCUGUACACCCUGGAGACCCUCCUCUUCUUCGUGAACCACCACAACCUCAAGCACACCGACUACAUCCAGGCCGCCCGCCUCAACCACCUCCCCACCGUCACCUUCAUCGACCGCAAGCCCCUCCUCGACUACCUCCAGGGCAAGAUCUCCUCCUCCGACGCCAUCCAGCUCUUCCCCUCCUCCUCCUCCUCCGCCUCCGCCGCCAUCGCCGCCGCCGCCGACGUCGCCGCCGCCCUCCCCGACCCCUCCUCCGCCUUCGCCUUCGCCGCCGCCGCCGCCCCCUCGGCCUUCGCCGCGGACGCCGAGGGCGAGGCCGAGGAGGACGCCGCGGCCGUCGACGUGAUGACCCUGAUCCGGACGGUCGAGCGGCCGCUCAAGGACCGCGAGGCGAUCCUGGAGUGCAAGAACCGGGACUUCUACGCCGUGCUCGUGGCCUCGACGCGGCGCGAGGAGGAGCGGCAGAGGAUGGAGUCGCAGCAGCGGAAGGAUGGGCUGGUGGCGAAGAGCCGCUUGAUGGGGGCGGAGGACAGGGGGCUGGGGUUCGGCGAGGAGCUAGGGUUUGGGGAUUCUGGGAUUAAGCCGAAAUUGAACCUCAAGGGGAGCAAGAUCGGGGAGGGCGUGCCGAUAAUCCUCGUGCCGAGCGCGUUCCAGACGCUGAUCACGAUACACAACGUGAAGGAGUUCCUGGAAGAUGGGGUUUUUAUCCCCACGGAUGUGAAGGCUAAGCAGAUGAAGGGGCCGAAGCCGGACUGCGUCACGGUGCAGAAGAAGUUCAGUAGGGAUAGAGUGGUGACGGCCUACGAGGUGAGGGACAAGCCAUCGGCGUUGAAGCCCGAGGAUUGGGACCGGGUUGUGGCGGUCUUCGUGUUGGGGAAGGAGUGGCAGUUCAAGGACUGGCCUUUCAAGGACCAUGUGGAGAUCUUCAAUAGGAUUAUUGGGUUCUUUAUGAGGUUCGAAGAUGACAGCGUGGAAUCUGCAAAGAUUGUAAAGCAGUGGAAUGUAAAGAUUAUCUCGAUAAGUAAAAAUAAGCGACAUCAGGAUCGGGCUGCUGCUCUUGAGGUGUGGGAAAAACUAGAAGAUUUUGUUCGGUCACGAUCGCAUGCUUAAUUGGCCAGGAGUUUGUCGAGAAAGCUUGUGAGGUCUUCUGGACAGUCCGGGUUAAGAUUGUCAGAUGUGCUCAUCCUGCUUCCUUCUUUGCAAUGGGCAGUAAAGACUCAGCUUCCCGACUAUCCAACAACUUGGUACUGUCCAAGUAUACAAAAAUCAGAGCUUACAACUGAUCUACGUAUGCUUGAAAGAACAAGAAUCGAGGUACAAGCUCCAUGUUUGGCAUCUGGAGCUAAAAUGAUCCAAUCACUGUGUCCUACCGCAAGAUUUUUUUUCAGCAGAAAACUCAAAUUUGGGUAGUGGUUGCUCAAAUUUGCUGUUGUCAGCUCUUAAAAAAGAAACGAAGAAAUUGGCAGAAUUAAAUGGUGGAGGAACAGAUGAUUAGUUCGAGGACAGCAUCGAGACAUAUGAUCCUGCCAAGAGGAGGACAAAAAGCAGGGGAAUCGACAGCUUGUUGGAGCCUGCAUCUGAUGAGCCAUCUUGUGUUGACGUUUCUAAAUCAGAGCUAAGCAGGAUGGAUGCUGCUGUACCUGAAGGAACUGUUGUUGGAGAGUCAGGAGUCUCUGAUGGAGAUUCAGCCGGGGAAGCAGCUGCACCGAAUCCAGUGUCUAUGCACCUGGUAGAGCCAGAGCUUGAGUCUGAUUGACGUUGAUCCCUAGUGAAGAGCCACCUCCGCUGAGAACCUGGCACAAGCACUGAGGCUGGGAGCGAACGACACUGGCAAGCUGUGUGCAGCAGGUCGGGGAUGCGGUGGAGGAGUUCCCCGUGAUGUAGUUGAGGCACGGCGAGAGGCUUAUCAACACAUUGGUGCAGCUUGACUGAGCAGCUGCCCCGACCCAGAGCAUGGCCACCGCAGCAAGAACCAGAGCCGCUUCCAUCCUUCUAUCCGCCAUCGAUGGGGUUAAUACCUCUCUCCCUUUCUCUCUCUACUCACAAACCGAUGUCUCGAGAACAAUUGUUGAGUGCUGAGAAAAUAUGUUUGCUGGACUGUGGAGGAGAUUAGGAAAUGGCGCGGGUUUAUGUAGGGGAAAUUGGAGGGAGGGAGGAACUUAUGUGGGUGACCAAACUCGUCCUAGAACCUGUCUGCCGAUUUGUUUAAGGAAAAGCUAAAUGUCAAACCUGGUGGUGAGUGGUGACAGGGCAAUUUUGGGGAGUGUUUUUGUAGGUGACCAAACUCAUUUCUAACUAAGUUCCUGCUGCUUUAUCUCA
Molecule: RNA transcript, 2553 nt
Organism: Eucalyptus grandis
Lineage: Eukaryota; Viridiplantae; Streptophyta; Magnoliopsida; Myrtales; Myrtaceae
Gene name: protein CDC73 homolog
Exons: 7
Source: RefSeq, a predicted model, not a curated record